GACAGAGGGUGCAAACGUUGCUCGGAAUUACUGGGCGUAAAGCGCGUGUAGGCGGACCACCAAGUCGGACGUGAAAGCCCUGAGCUCAACUCCGGAACUGCAUCCGAAACUGGCGGUCUGGAGUAGUGGAGAGGAAAGCAGAAUUCCUGGUGUAGAGGUGAAAUUCGUAGAUAUCAGGAGGAACACCGGUGGCGAAGGCGGCUUUCUGGACACUUACUGACGCUGAGACGCGAAAGCGUGGGGAGCAAACAGG
RNAcentral lists this ribosomal RNA (253 nucleotides) under uncultured bacterium. RNAcentral describes it as "partial 16S ribosomal RNA". It matches the Rfam family "Bacterial small subunit ribosomal RNA", at positions 524 to 776 of the family's 1533-position model. The record is from RNAcentral.